UUGGCUGAAACCAAAAAGAGGUGAAUCACUGUUAAUGAUUAAAUUGAUAAUAUCCAGUCGUU
RNAcentral lists this transfer RNA (62 nucleotides) under Bahadzia jaraguensis. Its description in RNAcentral is "transfer RNA Asparagine". Lineage: Eukaryota; Metazoa; Arthropoda; Malacostraca; Amphipoda; Hadziidae. The record is from RNAcentral.